This 339-nucleotide unclassified non-coding RNA is filed under the name Aphyllon uniflorum var. uniflorum. RNAcentral's name for it is "partial external transcribed spacer". The record is from RNAcentral. Lineage: Eukaryota; Viridiplantae; Streptophyta; Magnoliopsida; Lamiales; Orobanchaceae.
GGUUUGUAUGAGCAUGUUGGAUCCUUGCUUGCGCAUCGACAAUGUCUCGUGCAUUCCAUUUCAGUUGUUGCCUCAAGUUUUACUUGGUCGUUGUGUGUUUCCUGUGCUAAAUACCUAACAUGAAGGCAUUCCAUUUGAUGUGGACACUAUAUCCACCUUUUGAUGCCCCCCAAGAGGAGUGCGUUUUGUUGGUGGACCUCAAAUCAUGCAUUGUGGUUCACAUCCUUUGCCUGCCUGUUCAUGCUUUGGUUGUUGACCCAUGAUGUUGUGUUUGAUCUCUUGGAUAUUGAAAAUUGUGAGGGAAUGGGCCUUUGGCCUUUAAUGACCCCAAAUUAGGCG